This 861-nucleotide ribosomal RNA is filed under the name Bacillus sp. (in: firmicutes). RNAcentral describes it as "bacterial SSU rRNA". It matches the Rfam family "Bacterial small subunit ribosomal RNA", at positions 62 to 903 of the family's 1533-position model. The record is from RNAcentral. Lineage: Bacteria; Bacillati; Bacillota; Bacilli; Caryophanales; Bacillaceae.
UCGAGCGGACCGAUGGGAGCUUGCUCCCUGAUGUUAGCGGCGGACGGGUGAGUAACACGUGGGUAACCUGCCUGUAAGACUGGGAUAACUCCGGGAAACCGGGGCUAAUACCGGAUGCUUGAUUGAACCGCAUGGUUCAAUUAUAAAAGGUGGCUUUUAGCUACCACUUACAGAUGGACCCGCGGCGCAUUAGCUAGUUGGUGAGGUAACGGCUCACCAAGGCAACGAUGCGUAGCCGACCUGAGAGGGUGAUCGGCCACACUGGGACUGAGACACGGCCCAGACUCCUACGGGAGGCAGCAGUAGGGAAUCUUCCGCAAUGGACGAAAGUCUGACGGAGCAACGCCGCGUGAGUGAUGAAGGUUUUCGGAUCGUAAAACUCUGUUGUUAGGGAAGAACAAGUACCGUUCGAAUAGGGCGGUACCUUGACGGUACCUAACCAGAAAGCCACGGCUAACUACGUGCCAGCAGCCGCGGUAAUACGUAGGUGGCAAGCGUUGUCCGGAAUUAUUGGGCGUAAAGCGCGCGCAGGCGGUUUCUUAAGUCUGAUGUGAAAGCCCCCGGCUCAACCGGGGAGGGUCAUUGGAAACUGGGGAACUUGAGUGCAGAAGAGGAGAGUGGAAUUCCACGUGUAGCGGUGAAAUGCGUAGAGAUGUGGAGGAACACCAGUGGCGAAGGCGACUCUCUGGUCUGUAACUGACGCUGAGGCGCGAAAGCGUGGGGAGCGAACAGGAUUANAUACCCUGGUAGUCCACGCCGUAAACGAUGAGUGCUAAGUGUUANAGGGUUUCCGCCCUUUAGUGCUGCAGCAAACGCAUUAAUCACUCCGCCUGGGGAGUACGGUCGCAAGACUGAAACUCA